UACUUUUGAUCCAUAUGAAAGACUCAAAAAACAGGCAUAUUUUCAAACAGCUUUCUUCACCAUCAGUGAUGUACCUGUGCUUGAUGUUACUAUUCUUCACAAAAUGUGAUAAUAAUGUUAACUGUUAACAUAAAAACAAAGUUUGGCUCUGCAGAAGCGGCUGGAAACGAAUAACCACAAUAUACUUAGAUCUCUUGGUUUGGUUUGGCAUAUACUGCUGAAAGUUCCUCAUAUUUAGGAAUUCUUCUAAGUGAAAUACUUAUUUUGUGUCUCAGCUGGUGUGCUUAAGGAAAUAUUCAUUUUUCAGCAGUAACAUGGAAUUUGAUUUUUUAAAAUUUUUUUUAUAAAUUUAGUGGAUUGAAACAC
Molecule: unclassified non-coding RNA, 366 nt
Organism: Manacus vitellinus (golden-collared manakin)
Lineage: Eukaryota; Metazoa; Chordata; Aves; Passeriformes; Pipridae
Source: Ensembl